AUCCAGUUGACGAGUCCCAAAUAGGACCGUGAGUCCUGGAU
This 41-nucleotide non-coding RNA is filed under the name Schistosoma margrebowiei. The record is from RNAcentral. Lineage: Eukaryota; Metazoa; Platyhelminthes; Trematoda; Strigeidida; Schistosomatidae.